Molecule: ribosomal RNA, 460 nt
Filed under: uncultured bacterium
Lineage: Bacteria
Description: partial 16S ribosomal RNA
Rfam family: Bacterial small subunit ribosomal RNA
Source: RNAcentral
CCUACGGGAGGCUGCAGUGAGGAAUAUUGGUCAAUGUACGAGAGUCUGAACCAGCCACGUAGCGUGCAGGAUGACUGCCCUAUGGGUUGUAAACUUCUUUUAUAUGGGAAUAAAACGUUCCACGUGUGGGAUUUUGUAUGUACCCUAUGAAUAAGGAUCGGCUAACUCCGUGCCAGCAGCCGCGGUAAUACGGAGGAUCCGAUCGUUAUCCGGAUUUAUUGGGUUUAAAGGGAGCGUAGGUGGAUUGUUAAGUCAGUUGUGAAAGUUUGCGGAUCAACCGUAAAAUUGCAGUUGAAACUGGCAGUCUUGAGUACAGUAGAGGUGGGCGGAAUUCGUGGUGGAGCGGUGAAAUGCGUAGAUAUCACGAAGAACUCCGAUUGCGAAGGCAGUUCACUGGACUGCAACUGACACUGAGGCUCGAAAGUGUGGGUAUCAAACAGGAUUAGAUACCCGAGUAGUC